AAAAGAGCAGUUUCCCCCCUAUAAUAUAUUGGUGUGACAUGGUAAAUGCUAAACAUUUAAUUUCUUUCUUCUUCUAGAAUAAUGCUAUCAAAGUUAAAAACAAAAACCGGAAAAAAUCAAAAGAAUCCAAGGCUAUUUUAGUUGUGUCUGGUGGAGUUGGUACAGUAACUCAAGAAGAAGACAAUAUACUUUCUGAAGAAAAUACAUUAAGUUUUAUGAAUCCACAUGAGCCUUUUAGAAUCCCAGAUGAUCUUCAUGAACAAGUUGUGAUAUUUGAAGCAUUGUAUAAUACUGCUUCUUCUAACAACAGUUAUCAGAGAAUUUUGGACAGUUACCCAGAUCCAAC
This 346-nucleotide long non-coding RNA is filed under the name Notechis scutatus (mainland tiger snake). RNAcentral's name for it is "lncRNA (ENSNSUG00000017823.1)". The record is from RNAcentral. Lineage: Eukaryota; Metazoa; Chordata; Lepidosauria; Squamata; Elapidae.